AGCGCAGGCGGGCGAUCAAGUUGGAAGUGAAAAUCCAUGGGCUCAACCCAUGAACUGCUUUCAAAACUGGUCGUCUUGAGUAGUGCAGAGGUAGGCGGAAUUCCCGGUGUAGCGGUGGAAUGCGUAGAUAUCGGGAGGAACACCAGUGGCGAAGGCGGCCUACUGGGCACCAACUGACGCUGAGGCUCGAAAGUGUGGUAGCAAACA
This 207-nucleotide ribosomal RNA is filed under the name uncultured bacterium. Its description in RNAcentral is "partial 16S ribosomal RNA". It matches the Rfam family "Bacterial small subunit ribosomal RNA", at positions 568 to 774 of the family's 1533-position model. The record is from RNAcentral.